RNAcentral lists this ribosomal RNA (729 nucleotides) under Fusarium oxysporum f. sp. cepae. RNAcentral's name for it is "SSU rRNA". It matches the Rfam family "Bacterial small subunit ribosomal RNA", at positions 348 to 964 of the family's 1533-position model. The record is from RNAcentral. Lineage: Eukaryota; Fungi; Ascomycota; Sordariomycetes; Hypocreales; Nectriaceae.
UCMGCAGUCAUUUAGUCAAUGGCCUAACCGGCUGAACUGGCCAACUUGGAGAAGUGGCAAGUCUUCCAGUAUGGGGAGCAAAACAGCUAUGGGUCAAGUCCGAUAUCUUUAGGAGAAGUCUUAUUGUGAGGGCGAGUUAUAUAACACCAUAGGACUGGCCGUCCCAUAUGAAAAGAUUAUAUUAGAAUUGAAUGAAGCUUUGUUUAUAUAUUGAUAAUGACAGUAUAUAUAUCGUGUCUUGACUAAUUGCGUGCCAGCAGUCGCGGUAAUACGUAAGAGACUAGUGUUAUUCAUCUUAAUUAGGUUUAAAGGGUACCCAGACGGUCAAUAUAGCUUAUAAAAUGUUAGUACUUGACUAGAGUUUUAUGUAAGAGGGCAGUACUUGAGGAGGAGAGAUGAAAUUUCGUGAUACCAAAGGGACUCUGUAAAGGCGAAGGCAGCCCUCUAUGUAAAAACUGACGUUGAAGGACGAAGGCACAGAGAACAAACAGGAUUAGAUACCCAAGUAGUCUUUGCAGUAAAUGAUGAAUGCCAUAGGUUAGAUUGGUCAAUUAUAGUCUAGGGUUAGUCUAGCAAACUAAUACCCUAUGCUAUAAUCCUAAUAUCUGGUCUAUAAAUGAAAGUGUAAGCAUUUCACCUCAAGAGUAAUGUGGCAACGCAGGAACUGAAAUCACUAGACCGUUUCUGACACCAGUAGUGAAGUAUGUUAUUUAAUUCCGAUAAUCCGCA